RNAcentral lists this long non-coding RNA (201 nucleotides) under Homo sapiens (human). Its description in RNAcentral is "HSALNT0188054". Lineage: Eukaryota; Metazoa; Chordata; Mammalia; Primates; Hominidae. The record is from RNAcentral.
AAAGAUAUAUAUUCUUGAGCCCUUAAACUCAUAAAAAUACAGGUCCUUAAAAACUACCAGUGUUUUUAGGUUCUGAACCCUUCAUGCUUUUUAAGUUCCUAAGAAUCAAUCACUUUAUCAUGGGUAGCACCUUCUAUAGCAGGGAUCAGCUGACUUUCUACAGAGGACCAAAUAGUAAGUAAAGGCUUUGCCAAGCCACAU